Molecule: ribosomal RNA, 467 nt
Filed under: uncultured bacterium
Lineage: Bacteria
Description: partial 16S ribosomal RNA
Rfam family: Bacterial small subunit ribosomal RNA
Source: RNAcentral
ACGAACGCUGGCGGCGUGCUUAACACAUGCAAGUCGAACGGAAAGGCCCUGCUUUUGUGGGGUGCUCGAGUGGCGAACGGGUGAGUAACACGUGAGUAACCUGCCCUUGACUUUGGGAUAACUUCAGGAAACUGGGGCUAAUACCGGAUAGGAGCUCCUGCUGCAUGGUGGGGGUUGGAAAGUUUCGGCGGUUGGGGAUGGACUCGCGGCUUAUCAGCUUGUUGGUGGGGUAGUGGCUUACCAAGGCUUUGACGGGUAGCCGGCCUGAGAGGGUGACCGGCCACAUUGGUACUGAGAUACGGCCCAGACUCCUACGGGAGGCAGCAGUGGGGAAUAUUGCACAAUGGGCGGAAGCCUGAUGCAGCAACGCCGCGUGCGGGAUGACGGCCUUCGGGUUGUAAACCGCUUUCGCCUGUGACGAAGCGUGAGUGACGGUAAUGGGUAAAGAAGCACCGGCUAACUACGUG